CAGCAGUCGCCACGGUAAUACGUAGGGUGCAAGCGUUAAUCGGAAUUACUGGGCGUAAAGCGUGCGCAGGCGGUUAUAUAAGACAGAUGUGAAAUCCCCGGGCUCAACCUGGGAACUGCAUUUGUGACUGUAUAGCUAGAGUACGGCAGAGGGGGAUGGAAUUCCGCGUGUAGCAGUGAAAUGCGUAGAUAUGCGGAGGAACACCGAUGGCGAAGGCAAUCCCCUGGGCCUGUACUGACGCUCAUGCACGAAAGCGUGGGGAGCAAACAGGAUUAGAUACCCCGGUAGUCCCUGUCUCUUAUAC
RNAcentral lists this ribosomal RNA (304 nucleotides) under uncultured bacterium. RNAcentral describes it as "partial 16S ribosomal RNA". It matches the Rfam family "Bacterial small subunit ribosomal RNA", at positions 506 to 807 of the family's 1533-position model. The record is from RNAcentral.